GAUGAAGAACGCAGCGAAAUGCGAUAAGUAAUGUGAAUUGCAGAAUUCCGUGAAUCAUCGAAUCUUUGAACGCACAUUGCGCCCCCUGGUAUUCCGGGGGGCAUGCCUGUCCGAGCGUCAUUGCAACCCUCAAGCGCGGCUUGUGUGUUGGGCUUCGUCCCCCCGUGGACGUGCCCGAAAGGCAGUGGCGGCGUCCCGAAUGGUGCCCGAGCGUAUGGGAACUCUCUUCCGCUCGAACCGGCCCAUUCGGCGCUGGUCGAACCCCAAUUUUUUUUUACCGGUUGACCUCGGAUCAGGUAGGGAUACCCGCUGAACUUAAGCAUACAAUAAGCGGAGGA
This 338-nucleotide unclassified non-coding RNA is filed under the name soil metagenome. RNAcentral describes it as "partial contains 5.8S ribosomal RNA, internal transcribed spacer 2, and large subunit ribosomal RNA". The stretch from base 1 to 120 matches the Rfam family "5.8S ribosomal RNA", at positions 35 to 154 of the family's 154-position model. The record is from RNAcentral.